Non-coding RNA from Picea glauca (white spruce), 1584 nucleotides. The record is from Rfam. NCBI's taxonomy places the organism in Eukaryota, Viridiplantae, Streptophyta, Pinopsida, Pinales, Pinaceae.
UACCUGGUUGAUCCUACCAGUAGUCAUAUGCUUGUCUCAAAGAUUAAGCCAUGCAUGUCUAAGCAUGAACUAAUUCAGACUGUGAAACUGCGGAUGGCUCAUUAAAUCAGUUAUAGUUUCUUUGAUGGUACCCUACUACUCGGAUAACCAUACUAAUUCUAGAGCUAAUACGGGCACCAAGUCCCGACUCUUUGGAAGGGAUGCAUUUAUUAGAUAAAAGGCCGGUGCGGGCUUGCCCUCUUCUCUGGUGAAUCAUGAUAACUCAACGGAUCGCACAGCCCUUGUGCUGGCGAUGCUUCAUUCAAAUUUCUACCCUAUCAACUUUUGAUGGUAGGAUAGAGGCCUACCAUGGUGGUGACGGGUGACGAAGAAUUAGGGUUUGAUUCCAGAGAGGGAGCCUGAGAAAUGGCUGCCACAUCCAAGGAAGGCAGCAGGCGCACAAAUUACCCAAUCCUAACAUGGGGAGGUAGCGAAAAUAAAUAACAAUACUGGGCUCAUCGAGUCUGGUAAUUGGAAUGAGUACAAUAUAAAUCCCUUAACGAGGAUCCAUUGGAGGGAAAGUCUGGUGCCAGCAGGCACGGUAAUUCCAGAGCCAAUAGCGUAUAUUUAAGUUGUUGCAGUUAAAAAGCUCAUAGUUGGAUCUUGGGUCGUAAAGGUCUGUCUGCCUACUUGGUGUGCACCUGCCCUUCCGUCCCUUUUUUCGGUGGAAUGCUCCUGGCCUUAAUUGGCUGGGUCGCAAUUCUGGCGUUGUUACUUUGAAAAAAUUAGAGUGCUCAAAGCCAGCUUAUGCUCUGAAUAUAUUAGCAUGGAAUAACGUGAUAGGAGUCUGGUCCUAUUGUGUAGGCCUUCGGGACCGGAGUAAUGAUUAAUAGGGACUAUCGGGGGCAUUCGUAUUUCAUUGUCAGAGGUGAAAUUCUUUGAUUUAUGAAAGACAAACCACUGCGAAAGCAUUUGCCAAGGAUCUUUUCAUUAAUCAAGAAUGAAAGUUGGGGGCUCGAAGACGAUCAGAUACCGUCCUAGUCUCAACCAUAAAUGAUGCUGACCAGGGAUCGGCGGAUGUUUCUCUAAGGACUCCGCCAGCACUUUCUGAGAAAUCAAAGUGUUUGGGUUCCGGGGGGAGUAUGGUCGCAAGGCUGAAACUUAAAGGAAUUGACAGAAGGGCACCACCAGGAGUGGAGCCUGCGGCUUAAUUUGACUCAACACGGGAAAACUUACCAAGUCCAGACAUAGUAAGGAUUGACAGAUUGAGAGCUUUUUCUUGAUUCUAUGGGUGGUGGUGCAUGGUCGUUCUUAGUUGGUGGAGCGAUUUUUCUGGUUAAUUCCGAUAACGAACGAGACCUCAGCCUGCUAACUAGCUGUUAGCGAUAUUUCUUGCUAAGGGGUUUAGAUAUCAAAAGAAUGGGUUAAAACCCACUUGUCCAAAGUUUUGGGCGAUAAUGCCCCAAUGAUAAGCAGCAAGAAAGAUCGGACGGUCCAGAUUUCCGUGCCCAGAUCGACGGCGCAUAGUGAAUUUUGGACCCUCCUUGCCUUUCGAUCUUUAAGCAAAGGGGGGGGGUCCGAGAUCGGGGGCGCAGCUCUCCGACG